AGCUGACUCAUUGUGAAGCGG
Molecule: unclassified non-coding RNA, 21 nt
Filed under: Chlamydomonas reinhardtii
Lineage: Eukaryota; Viridiplantae; Chlorophyta; Chlorophyceae; Chlamydomonadales; Chlamydomonadaceae
Description: small RNA Cre_0499
Source: RNAcentral